RNAcentral lists this ribosomal RNA (469 nucleotides) under uncultured Glomus. Its description in RNAcentral is "SSU rRNA". It matches the Rfam family "Eukaryotic small subunit ribosomal RNA", at positions 569 to 1044 of the family's 1831-position model. Lineage: Eukaryota; Fungi; Glomeromycota; Glomeromycetes; Glomerales; Glomeraceae. The record is from RNAcentral.
AGCAGCCGCGGUAAUUCCAGCUCCAAUAGCGUAUAUUAAAGUUGUUGCAGUUAAAAAGCUCGUAGUUGAAUUUCGGGAUUAAUUUAUUGGUCGUGCUUUUGUACGUACUGGUAUAAUCGGUUUCUCUCUUCUGACGAACUAUAAUGCCAUUAAUUUGGUGUUAUGGGAAAUCAGGACUGUUACUUUGAAAAAUUAGAGUGUUUAAAGCAGGCUCACGCUUGAAUACAUUAGCAUGGAAUAACGGAAUAGGACGUCUGAUUCUAUUUUGUUGGUUUCUAGGAUCGACGUAAUGAUUAAUAGGGAUAGUUGGGGGCAUUAGUAUUCAAUUGUCAGAGGUGAAAUUCUUGGAUUUAUUGAAGACUAACUACUGCGAAAGCAUUUGCCAAGGAUGUUUUCAUUAAUCAAGAACGAAAGUUAGGGGAUCGAAGACGAUCAGAUACCGUCGUAGUCUUAACCAUAAACUAUGCCG